Long non-coding RNA from Cheilinus undulatus (humphead wrasse), 370 nucleotides. RefSeq lists it as uncharacterized. Lineage: Eukaryota; Metazoa; Chordata; Actinopteri; Labriformes; Labridae. The transcript is spliced from 3 exons. The record is from RefSeq and is a predicted model, not a curated record.
CCAGAAUUCAGUCUCAUGUAGAUCUCAGAGUUUUCACAUGUUUACAGCAACCAUAUUCCAACAUUUCUAGAGUGGAUUUCACUUUACAGGGUCUUUAAUAACCCAUUGUUGCCACUGCUAUGUCAAUGUUGCAGAAAGAAACAACACCCCCCUCCCCCUGCUGAGCCCCAAGCCUCCACAUCUACUGGGGACAGCCCCGGUGGCAAAUACCAGAGGAAGAGACCACACAAGAGUGCAACCCUGGAUGCCCACUAUAUGAGAAGUCUGGAGAUAUACAUGGAGUACAAGGAGCUGAAAAUUGAGUACUUAAAGCUCAAAAUGAAAAAACUAAAGCGAGAAUUAGGAUCGGGUGAAGGAUAAAUAAAAGUGU